GCCUGUUUAGCUCAGUGGUCAGAGCAUCGCACUUGUAAUG
Molecule: transfer RNA, 40 nt
Filed under: Hattoria yakushimensis
Lineage: Eukaryota; Viridiplantae; Streptophyta; Jungermanniopsida; Jungermanniales; Anastrophyllaceae
Also listed under: 2 other names
Description: partial tRNA-Thr
Rfam family: tRNA
About the family: Transfer RNA (tRNA) molecules are approximately 80 nucleotides in length. Their secondary structure includes four short double-helical elements and three loops (D, anti-codon, and T loops). Further hydrogen bonds mediate the characteristic L-shaped molecular structure. tRNAs have two regions of fundamental functional importance: the anti-codon, which is responsible for specific mRNA codon recognition, and the 3' end, to which the tRNAs corresponding amino acid is attached (by aminoacyl-tRNA synthetases). tRNAs cope with the degeneracy of the genetic code in two manners: having more than one tRNA (with a specific anti-codon) for a particular amino acid; and 'wobble' base-pairing, i.e. permitting non-standard base-pairing at the 3rd anti-codon position.
Source: RNAcentral